This 258-nucleotide non-coding RNA is filed under the name Lachnospiraceae bacterium. RNAcentral describes it as "T-box sequence". It matches the Rfam family "T-box leader". From Rfam's summary of the family: Uncharged tRNA acts as the effector for transcription antitermination of genes in the T-box leader family. Lineage: Bacteria; Bacillati; Bacillota; Clostridia; Lachnospirales; Lachnospiraceae. The record is from RNAcentral.
AUAAUGGCUGUGAAGAGAAGCAGUAGCUGCACAGAGCGUUUCAGAGAGCUGUCGUUUGGUGCGAGACAGUACGGGAACUGCGGUGAACUCGUCUUGGAGCUUUGUGCCUGAACCGGUAUGAAACUGUAUCAGUAGGGCGCAACGGAAUAUCCCUCGUUACCGGGAUACGGCAUGUUUGUGCCAAAAAGGGUAUGCUGUGGGAAACGGUAUAAAGUAAAGUGGUACCGCGGAAGAAAUUUGAUGUCUUUCGUCUUUACA